GACGGAGGAUGCAAGCGUUAUCCGGAAUGAUUGGGCGUAAAGCGUCCGCAGGUGGCAGUUCAAGUCUGCUGUCAAAGACCGGGGCUUAACUUCGGAAAGGCAGUGGAAACUGAACAGCUAGAGUAUGGUAGGGGCAGAGGGAAUUCCUGGUGUAGCGGUGAAAUGCGUAGAGAUCAGGAAGAACAUCGGUGGCGAAAGCAGCUCUCUGGGACGGUACUGACGCUGAGACGCGAAAGCGUGGGGAGCGAACAGG
Molecule: ribosomal RNA, 253 nt
Filed under: uncultured bacterium
Lineage: Bacteria
Description: partial 16S ribosomal RNA
Rfam family: Bacterial small subunit ribosomal RNA
Source: RNAcentral